AUCAUGGCUCAGGACGAACGCUGGCGGCGCGCCUAACACAUGCAAGUCGAACGAGCGAGAGAGAGCUUGCUUUCUCGAGCGAGUGGCGAACGGGUGAGUAACGCGUGAGGAACCUGCCUCAAAGAGGGGGACAACAGUUGGAAACGGCUGCUAAUACCGCAUAAGCCCACAGCUCGGCAUCGAGCAGAGGGAAAAGGAGCAAUCCGCUUUGAGAUGGCCUCGCGUCCGAUUAG
This 233-nucleotide ribosomal RNA is filed under the name uncultured bacterium. RNAcentral describes it as "partial 16S ribosomal RNA". It matches the Rfam family "Bacterial small subunit ribosomal RNA", at positions 16 to 244 of the family's 1533-position model. The record is from RNAcentral.